This 693-nucleotide long non-coding RNA is filed under the name Calidris pygmaea (Spoon-billed sandpiper). Its description in RNAcentral is "lncRNA (ENSCPGG00000017192.1)". The record is from RNAcentral. Lineage: Eukaryota; Metazoa; Chordata; Aves; Charadriiformes; Scolopacidae.
UCCACCUCUACUAUCUCACCGAUACUGACAAAGUCUGGAGGACAGUAGGCACAGCAUAGAUGCUCAUAAAGCUUUCUGUCACAAGAGAUAAGGAAUGAGAAAGUACCUAUUCUCCCUGCUUAUUCCUUUGGAGCUGGUUAGGAAAGGGACAUUAAGUCAUAUAUCCUAAAAUGAUUGUUUCUGUGCUGACAAUGUUACCAGCAAUGUAGAUUUUGGUUCUUCUAUAAUGUGAUCUUGCUCUUGUUUUAGGAAAAACAACGCUUGGCGAUUUUUAUUCUUUUUUUCAGCUGUCUCCUCAGUGAAACUGCUGCCUAUGCUAAUUUUGCAGGUUCAUAAAGCCCUGGGACGGCCUAGAAGAACUGGCUGCUGAACUAUGAGUUAGGUUCAGGAUGAAGAUGAUGCUUGGACUGUAACUUCCAGAAUUUGUCAUUGAAGCAAACAGUUUCAGAAGAUGCAUAAGGAGAACACACAGAACAAUGGUGCAAACUUUCCAGUCAAAAUUGGAAAGCAAAACAGGGAUUAGUUCUCAGCAACAAAAAUGUAAAGAAAUGGAGUGGAACCCUGAGGAGCAGAUGGAGCUGGGAGAGAUGCAUGGAUAUAUCUACAUUGAGAAACCCCUUGGAAUAUCUUUGCUGUUAGGACAGAGUUGUCUUUGCUGUUGUAGGUUGCCAGAUGUUUAGAGGGGAGGCAGGU